AGCGAACGCUGGCGGCAGGCUUAACACAUGCAAGUCGAGCGGGCAUAGCAAUAUGUCAGCGGCAGACGGGUGAGUAACGCGUGGGAACGUACCUUUUGGUUCGGAACAACACAGGGAAACUUGCGCUAAUACCGGAUAAGCCCUUACGGGGAAAGAUUUAUCGCCGAAAGAUCGGCCCGCGUCUGAUUAGCUAGUUGGUGAGGUAAUGGCUCACCAAGGCGACGAUCAGUAGCUGGUCUGAGAGGAUGAUCAGCCACAUUGGGACUGAGACACGGCCCAAACUCCUACGGGAGGCAGCAGUGGGGAAUAUUGGACAAUGGGCGCAAGCCUGAUCCAGCCAUGCCGCGUGAGUGAUGAAGGCCCUAGGGUUGUAAAGCUCUUUUGUGCGGGAAGAUAAUGACGGUACCGCAAGAAUAAGCCCCGGCUAACUUCGUG
This 435-nucleotide ribosomal RNA is filed under the name uncultured bacterium. RNAcentral describes it as "partial 16S ribosomal RNA". It matches the Rfam family "Bacterial small subunit ribosomal RNA", at positions 29 to 507 of the family's 1533-position model. The record is from RNAcentral.